GAGCUCCAGUCCUUCUAUUCUGCUACCUUAAUCCCGGGGACUAUUAAAACUCAAUCUACUCAUCUGAAUGCAUGGGUUAACUGUUACUCCUCUUCGUACUCUAAAAAAAAGUUUGCUCAGGAAAAGCCUGCCGGUCUAAUAGAAGUCUCCUAGAAGUCGCCUUCCAGAAAGAGAAUUGACAAAUGCUGAGUGACAGUGGGGCUUGUUCUGAAGAAAGAACCAUGAAUAUUUUUAUGCAGUGACCCAAUCACCAUUUUCCGUUGACUAAUUUGGGGUUCUUUGAUUCUGAGUAUCUUUGAUGUCUCCUAUCUAAGUAUUCACUCCAUUUGAUAGCAAAAGGAAAUUGAAGUCUAUAGAGGUGAGGGACUUGCCCAGUGUCACAAAGCUGGCAUGUGGCAGAAUCAUAAUAAGAAACAUGGUCUCCUGAUUCCAUUCAGAGCACUUUCUAGCACAGCUUAAUCCCCCAGAUUAAAAAACCUUUUAUUUUCUUGGUUGUAUAUUCUAUGGCUCUGGACAAAAACAUUACAUAUUCAUUAUUGUAAUGUCAUAUAUAGAGUAUUUUCUCUCCCCUCAAACCCCUCUGUGCUUAGCUGUUCAUCUCCCCCCACCCCAUACCCUUAAAGGCAACUACUAAUUUUUUUUUUUUUUUGUCUCCACAGUUUGGCCUUUUCCAGAAAGGUAUACAGCUGGAAUCAUGUAGUCUUUUCAGAUGGGCUUCUUUCACUUUGAUCAAUUUAAAGCUCCUCCAUGUCUUUUCGUGGCUUGAUAACUCAUUUCUUGUUAGCACUGAAUACUCCUCCAUUGUGUGCAGUAUCGCGGUUUAUUUGUCCAUCCACCUGUUGAAGGACGACCUCUUGGUUGCUUCCAAGUGUGGGCCCUUCUGAAUAAUGUGCUGUACACAUUCGUGUGCAGGUUUUUAUGUGGAUGUGUUUUCAACUCCUUUGGGUAAAUACCAAGGAACAUGAUUGCUGGAUCAUAGAGUAAGAAUAUGUUUAGUUUUAUUUUUUAUUUUAUUGUAUUUUUUUGUCUUUUUGCCUUUUCUAGUGCUGCUCCUGCGGCAUAUGGAGGUUCCCAGGCUAGGGUUCGAAUCGGAGCUGUAGCCGCCGGCCUACACCACAGCCACAGCAACGCCAGAUCCGAGCCGAGUCUGCGACCUACACCACAGCUCACAGCAAUGCUGGAUCCUUAACCCACUGAGCAAGGCCAAGGAUCGAACUGGCAACUUCAUGGUUCCUAGUUGGAUUCGUUAACCGCUGCGCCCCGACAGGAACUCCAGAAUAUGUUUUAUGAGAAACCACCAGACCGUCUUCCAAAAGUGGCUGUACUGUUUUGCAUUCCCACCAGCAAGGAAUGAGGCUACGUAAUGCUUUACAGCCCCCUCAGCAUGUACUGUGGGCCAUGUUUGGGAUUUUACCUUUUCUUUCAGAUGUCAAGAUUUUGAAUAAUAACUGAGUAGGGAAUCUGAUGUUCCUUAGGACUGCUUGAGACAAUGUUACCCAGAUAGCUUUUAUUUUCCUCGUUUUUUUCAGUCACACCCAUGGUAUAUGGUAAUUUCCAGGCUAGGGGUCGAUUCGGAGCUAUAGCUUCCGGUCUACACCACAGCCACAGCAACGCCAGAUCCGAGCUAUGUCUGUGACCUACACCACAGCUCAUGGCAACGCAGGAUCCUUAAUCCACUGAGCGAGGCCAGGGAUGGAACCCGAAUCCUCAUGGAUACUAGUCGGGUUUGUUACUGCUGAGCCACAUUGGGAACUCCCCAGACAGCUUUAUUGCUAGCAACUAACUGGUACCAUCAACUUGAGUUUUUAACUGAUUCUGCAGGUUUGUUUGUCUCUCUGUUUUUUGUCUUUUUGCCUUUACUGGGGCCACUCCCGCAGCAUGUGGAGGUUCCCAGGCUAGGGGUCUAAUUGGAGCUGUAGCCGCCAGGCUACACCACAGCCACAGCAACACAGGAUCUGAGCCGCAUCUUCGACCUACACCACAGCUCACGGCAACGCCGGAUCCCUAACCCACUGAGCAAGGGCAGGGAUCGAAUCAGCAACCUCAAGGUUCCUAGUUGGAUUCGUUAACCACUGUGCCACGACAGGAACUCCCUGAUUCUGCAGGUUUUUGAACAUAGCUGGCUGGUGACCCAGGUUCCUUUCUCUCCAACCCUCUGGGGCUCUCUUGCAGAUUUAGGUCCCUCUUUGGUCUCUCUGAUCUGCCUCUUUGUCUAGCUAUGGACCUAUUGUAGCCCAUAGGAAGAUUUAGCCUUCACCUGACCCUUAAGGACUUGGAAUAGGCCCCAUCGGGAAAGCCAGUGAAACUCAUCAAGGGCCCUUUCCUCAUCUGUCUGGUUUUCCUUUGUGCUCAGUUUCUGAGCAACCUUGUGUUUGUUCCCUGGGACCUGGAUCCUCCGCUUCCCACUUGUAGUGUUGGGAACUUCCUGGCAAUUUUUAAAACUUCCUUUCAUUAUCAGGACCUGGUAACUAAUCCUCUUAACGCUUCCCAAUAAGAAUUUUAGGGCCUGUCAGGAGGCAUCCCUGUCAGAUGACAUCCCAGGGCCAGGCUGACAACUGCAGAGCUGUGCUGAGGGUUAUAAUAGAAAACAGAUUUCUCUGUAGCAACUGAAGGCUUGCUAUAACCAACACAUGAACUAGGAGAGGAGCUACCACCAUAUAGCUUGCAGAAUCUUUCAGAAAAGCUUUACAAACGGCAUCAUUAUUGCUCAUUGGCAGCCCAGUCAAAUACACCACUUGACACACUUGCCUAAGCUGAGCAAGCUCCAACAGUAUUUCGUAAUCUGACUCAUAGAAGUAGUAAAUCUUCGGAGUUCCCAUCGUGGCUCCGUGGUUAACGAAUCUGACUAGGAACCAUGAGGUUGCAGGUUUGAUCCUUGGCCUUGCUCAUGGAUCCCGUGUUGCUGUGGCUGUGAUGUAGGCUGGUGGCUACAGCUCUGAUUUGACCCCUAGCCUGGGAACCUCCAUAUGCUGCCGGUGCGGUCCUAGAAAAGACAGGAAAAAAAGAAGUAGUAAAUCUUCGAUUUGAAAUUACAUAUCAUUAAUAUGACAAAAAGGGGCAUUCUUAAACCUUUUGUCUUGGUAUCUGAGCAGCUGGAGAAGAGGGCUGCUUGGGAGGGACUCUGCUUGGCCUCGACUGUGUAACCUUGGGCUGGAAGGGGUUGAGAUGGAAAGGAGAAGUGAAGGGUCGCCAUGAAUUUCUUAGUCCCAUCUAUAUGUAAAUCAUUUCAUGUUAUGCAAAUUACUUCUUUGAGAUGCGAUCAGACUCCCAAGAGCAAACAAUUUCCACUCCCAACACUCCUUGCUGCCUCCUGACCAAGCUUUCUUCUUUGUAAAAGGAAGAGAGCUAUUGUAUGUCCUACAAGGGGACAGGAAUGGGACGAACAGGAAUUAGUCUCUCAUGGAGGCAAAACCAAUUCUGGACAACCAUGUUGGGGUGCCUGACAGGAACUCCUGAGGUACAAAACUCACACUGAACCGUAGCCCACCAGGCAUACAUAACACUCGCCAUAUUGCUUUUUCUAGACUCCAUUCUCUUUAUGGAUUCAUGGCAUCUGUAUUUGAGGUAUGAGGACUAUUGACUGCAAACACUUUCUGGACUGAAGGCUUACCGUCCUCUUCCCUUCCGUCCAAAUACACACACAGAACACACACACAGGUGCAUGUGUGUAUACACACACUAAUGUGAUAUAUAAAUAUUUAAUACUCUGAUAUUAAUACCUAGAAUUUCUGUUCACCUAUACCUGUUCUUCUUAGUCUGGGAUGGAUCCCGGAGAGCUGGGGCCAGGAAUUGAUCAUUCAUCCAUCCAUCCAUCCAUCCUUCCAUCCACUGGUUCAUUGAACAAGUAUUUGAGCACAUACAGUGUGCCAGGCACUUUAUUUUGGCAUUGAGGGGGAGAUACAAAGAUGUGGUGGGUGUGAAAAAGCAAUGUAACGUGUUUAUGAGAAUAUAGGAUGCAGGGACCAAAUGAAGGGUGGAGGCAUGGCUGGGUUAGGGAAGGCUUCCCUAGGCCCUGCAUAAUUAACUGGAGUUAGCCGGAUAAACAGUGUUCCUGCCGAGGGGAGGGAUGGCUGAAGGCUCUGAGGAUAAAGGAGGGUAACUGUUUUGUCGUGAGGGGAAAGGAGAAUGGGGAAGGGUAAGGUAGAGACCAGGGAGAUGAGGUAGAGAGGUUGGCUGAGACCAGAUCACACACAAGGUCCUGUGGACCAGAAUUAAAUUUUUGCCUUUGGGGACUCAUUCACCCCAGGCUUCAGGCACGCCUCCCUUGCUUUCCCACGCUUUGAGGUUCUAGCUUUAUGUUAGUUCACUAGUCUCCAGCCCUCAGUAAGAGGAGACCACCAGUAUCCCGGGACCAGAGCUGGCUCUGCAGAUGCUAAACACAGGAUCUGUCCACUUGAUCAAGGAGGAGCCAUUUAGAGCUGGUUCUUUUAGGGUAGGCAAAACAAAGGAUCCCGUGUACCAUGGAUAGUAACCUCUCUAGACUGUGUUACUUGCUGUCAAGAAAUAGCAUAUGUCCACAGUGUCUGUGAGGUGGGCCUCACGGUUGCCAAGUCAAAGAGGGAGUCGUAUAAUUCCUGGGUUAUUUCGUCGCAACCAUGCCUUAUUUUGUCUUGCAUCCUCCUCACUGCGGUCUAGCACAUAUUAGCCCCUUAAUAAGAGCCUGCUGAAUGGAUACCAGUUGUCUUAUUUUGGUCAAAACCUGCGAGGAUAGUUAUUAAUCUACAAACUGGCUCCUGGGGCCAUUGUUAGAGAUCUGGGCUGACUUGAGUGGAGGGUUGUUGAUACGAAGCAGUCACGUUUCUUUGGAACAAGCAGAUGUUCAAAGAAAAAAAAAAAAAAAAAAA
RNAcentral lists this long non-coding RNA (4844 nucleotides) under Sus scrofa (pig). Its description in RNAcentral is "lncRNA (ENSSSCG00065049527.1)". The record is from RNAcentral. Lineage: Eukaryota; Metazoa; Chordata; Mammalia; Artiodactyla; Suidae.